This 216-nucleotide small RNA is filed under the name Arthrobacter sp. RNAcentral's name for it is "c-di-AMP sequence". It matches the Rfam family "c-di-AMP riboswitch aptamer (ydaO/yuaA leader)". From Rfam's summary of the family: This family represents a conserved RNA structure found upstream of the ydaO and yuaA genes in Bacillus subtilis and related genes in other bacteria. The record is from RNAcentral. Lineage: Bacteria; Bacillati; Actinomycetota; Actinomycetes; Micrococcales; Micrococcaceae.
AUCAGUCGCAGAACUACCUCCUGGCAGGGGCGGGGGAACCACUUUCGGCUGCUACUUCGGCAGCCUUGGGGUGAAGUCCGUCAGCGGCAAGCAGCUUCCACCGAAGGAUCCCCUGGGGAUGCCUCUGUGCGUGGCUGCUUGCAACGGCGGGCCGGGUCUUUGAUCUCUCUGACCCGAAUCCGACAGCUAACUUCGCAGGCCAUCCAGAGAGGAACC